CUCUCCGUAGUUCAAUGGAUAGAACGGGCGCCUCCUAAGCGCCAGAUACAGGUUCGAUUCCUGUCGGGGAGGCCA
This 75-nucleotide transfer RNA is filed under the name Delftia acidovorans. RNAcentral's name for it is "tRNA-Arg". It matches the Rfam family "tRNA". Rfam says of the family: Transfer RNA (tRNA) molecules are approximately 80 nucleotides in length. Their secondary structure includes four short double-helical elements and three loops (D, anti-codon, and T loops). RNAcentral also lists the same sequence under 4 other names. The record is from RNAcentral. Lineage: Bacteria; Pseudomonadati; Pseudomonadota; Betaproteobacteria; Burkholderiales; Comamonadaceae.